UUCUGCUAAACCGCUUGUUCCG
This 22-nucleotide non-coding RNA is filed under the name Arabidopsis thaliana (thale cress). The record is from RNAcentral. Lineage: Eukaryota; Viridiplantae; Streptophyta; Magnoliopsida; Brassicales; Brassicaceae.